AAAGUUUUCUUCUAUUUCUAGUUUGCUGACUUGCUAAGGAAAUUUCAGACACUUGUUGAAUUUCAUCAAAUGCUUUGAUGGAUUGGGCUUAAUUGAAGUAAGAGUGUCAGUUGAUCAAGUUCGUGAUUAAGAGUACAGACGAGACGAGCCAUUGGCAGAGACCAUGUGUCUACAACACAGGUAUCUGACAAAGACUUGUAAGAAAAGCUGAUAAUUCAACCAAAAUUGGCAGAAACAACAUGAAGAAACUUUCCAUGGCUGAAACUGGUGUGAUCUGAGUAACAAAAUUUGCACAAUCUCUACAUUCAUCUAAAGAAAAAGAUAGACAUUCAUGAGUUGAUUGUGACAUAAAUGAUCAAAUUAAACAUUAAUGGAUGAGAGAGGUGGGUACUCCUUAAAGAAGAAUGACAUGUCAGACGUCUAGAUGCCCCUCCUCCAGGGGACUGGGCCAAGUCCCUCUUCCUUCGGGUGCUGGAUGGCCCUGCAGCUGGCCUUCAGAAGAGGGGACUGAAGCAGAGCAGAAGUGGAGGGAAGAGACCUGAGGCACCUCUUUGCCGUGUGCUGAAGGCUGCGUCCGGUGGCAGGUCACUCUCUGACAGGGUGCAGGGGCGGGCCUCUGACCUCCAGGCUUUCUGCUGUGAGGCUGCCCCAGGGAUGAGGGGGAUCUGGGCCAGCAGACUCUCGAGGCACAGCUGUGCUUCGGUGGUAGGUUCAAAAGUCAACAGGAGGGCAUUCAGGAUGGCCAAGUUGAGACUAUUGCUGGAGCUCCAGAAGCCGAGAGAGGUCAGGGAGCUGGCGCUCUGGGCCAGGGGAUCUAGGCAGACAGGAGCUGAGGGGUGUGGGGAAGCGUCCUAUAGAAGGCCCCGUGUGCAGGGAAAACCCUCCACUCCCCAAGGGACAGCAAGAAUGAGGUCUUGCUUCAGCUUUGUAAUCCCAGAGGCAAGAAACAAAUGCAAAUUGAAGUAAAAAAAAAUCCAAAUAUGUUGUCCCAAAUUAUUAUUUUUAAAAUGCCAAUUACACAUCAGUGGAAGCAAUAUAAUUUUAAGGUCAUGUUUUCCAUAUUACUGUAAUAUCCAUUACUGCCUAACUAAGCAAUGCUAAUACAGAAAGUCAUUUUCUCAGUACACACUCAGUAAUGAAGUGACUCUUACAUGGGAUUGCCUAGCUGAUUUAUUACCGCAACGAGGUGAUGGGAAUACUUCCACUGGAAGGCUUUUACAAUUUAUCAAGUUUCGUUGGCCUAAGGAAGGUAAUUACUUUUCUAGGGUUGAUGUGAUAUGUGAACCAAUACAAGCACUGGGGAUAUGAGCAAUGACCAAUCUUUUACUCAAAAUUAAACU
RNAcentral lists this long non-coding RNA (1340 nucleotides) under Marmota monax (woodchuck). The record is from RNAcentral. Lineage: Eukaryota; Metazoa; Chordata; Mammalia; Rodentia; Sciuridae.